UUCCAUAGCCUUCUUGGUAACAAGUAUGUCUCUCAAAAAAAAAUUAUUUUCUUCUGUCAUGCCUUAGCUAGCUAGUGUACCAUCUCUGAUAAAGUUCUAUCUUUUUGUUUCUGCUGUAAAGGUGGUCAAUCAUAGCAGGGAGACUACCUGGGAGAACAGAUAAUGAGAUCAAGAAUCAUUGGAAUACCCACAUAAAGAGGAAGCUACUGAGCAGAGGUAUUGACCCUUUGACACAUCGACCGGUCAAUGAACAAGCUGCAAUUCACACCAUAGAUACAGUCUCAUCAACAGCAAUUCUAAGAGAAGAUGAGAGACAAACGAACCAAGAAUUGAAUCUUGAGCUGCAGAUAAGUCCACCAUCGUUACAUUCACACCCACCGCAGGUAUUGCGGAAAAGAAACAGAAAAGUCAUUUGCUUCUACUGUAUCUUGGGGCUUCGAA
This 441-nucleotide long non-coding RNA is filed under the name Gossypium barbadense (sea-island cotton). RNAcentral describes it as "long non-coding RNA (GBAR_LNC010188)". The record is from RNAcentral. Lineage: Eukaryota; Viridiplantae; Streptophyta; Magnoliopsida; Malvales; Malvaceae.